This 73-nucleotide transfer RNA is filed under the name Runaria sp. 'striata'. RNAcentral describes it as "tRNA-Ile". Lineage: Eukaryota; Metazoa; Arthropoda; Insecta; Hymenoptera; Blasticotomidae. The record is from RNAcentral.
AUUAAAGUGCCUGAAAAAGGAAUAUUUUGAUAGAAUAAAACAUGUAUAUAAAAUCACACAUAUACCUUUAAUA